UGUGUACGUGUAAAGAGUACAAUCGCUACAGUGGCUACAUCAAGUCAGUUCAGUUGCUGUGGGAGAAGCAGUGCUGUGCCCAGCAGAAAAAUCUUUUGAAGCAGUUCCUAGUCUUGCAGCAGCAAGGGGAGGUUCCGUCCCACAUCUCACUGACGGAUAUUAGAGAGUGGCUCAUUGCCAAGGGUAGAAACUACUUCAAGAACACGUUUCAGAGUGAAAUGGAAGAGGGGAAGAACCUUUACUUGGCCGAACUGGCUUGGGAGGUGAAACGACGCCUCAGGCUUGAGGAGCUGGAAAGAGAAGUGUGCAGGGAGCUGCGCCUGGAGCGCCGAAUUGGACAGCCUGGUAGCCAGAUGGGAGAUUGGAGACCCCUGGGCAUGGAGACACACACACCUCUGGUAAUGGACUCUCCCUUCAGACACUCCACCUCCUCGAUGGACACUCUUUCCAGUCAGAUCUCGACUGAGAACCUCGAGGUUGCUAGGCUACAUACUGCCAGACCACGUUCUGCCAGACCACUAACUGAAAGACCUAGCAGUGACUCUGAUCACUCUGGAACCUUGUCUACUGUGAUGACCUGCUCACCACAUUCAGCUAGCCCGUCAGUGGUAGGUCAUUUUGGUCAUGAACAUGUUCCCAGCUUUCACUCUUUGGGGGCUGUAGACAUAUUACUGCUUCCCUGUCUCCCAUCUCCUUGGAAAUCCAUAUCCAAGUACAGUGGCAAGAAAAAGUAUGUGAACCCUUUGGAAUUACCUGGACUUCUGUGUAAAUUGGUCAUAAAAUGUUAUCUGAUCUUCAUCUAAGUCACAACAAUAGACAAACACAGUCUGCUUAAACUAAUAACACACAAAUAAUUGUACUUUUUCAUGUCUUUAUUGAACACACCAUGUAAACAUUCACAGUGCAGGGUGGAAAAAGUACACUCAGCAAAAAAAUAAACCUCCCUUUUUUAGGACCCUGUCUUUCAAAGAUAAUUCGUAUAAAUCCAAAUAACUUCACAGAUCUUCAUUGUAAAGGGUAUAAACACUGUUUCCCAUGCUUGUUCAAUGAACCAUAAACAAUGAAUGAACAUGCAUCUGUGGAACGGUCGUUAAGACACUAACAGCUUACAGACGAUAGGCAAUUAAGGUCACAGUUAUGAAAACUUAGGAAACUAAAGAGGCCUUUCUACUGACUCUGAGAAACACCAAAAGAAAGAUGUCCAGGGUCCCUGCUCAUCUGUGUGAACGUGCCUUAGGCAUGCUGCAAGAAGGCAUGAGGACUGCGGAUGUAGCCAGGGCAAUAAAUUGCUAUGUCCGUACUGUGAGACGCCUAAGACAGCGCUACAGGGAGACAAGACGGACAGCUGAUUGUCCUCGCAGUGGCACCUCGUGUAACAACACCUGCACAGGAUCGGUACAUCCAAACAUCACACCUGCGGGACAGGUACAGGAUGGCAACAACAACUGCCCGAGUUACACCAGGAACGCACAAUCCCUCCAUCAGUGCUCAGACUGUCCGCAAUAGGCUGAGAGAGGCUGGACUGAGGGCUUGUAAGCCUGUUGUAAGGAAACCGGCAACAACGUCGCCAAUGGGCGCAAACCCACCAUCGCUGGACCAGACAGGGCUGUCAAAAAGUGCUCUUCACUGAUGAGUCAUGGUUUUGUUUCACAAGGGGUGAUGGUCGGAUUCACGUUUAUCGUCGAAGGAAUGAGCGUUACAUCGAGGCCUGUACUCUGGAGAGGGAUCGAUUUGGAGGUGGAGGGUCUGUCAUGGUCUUGGGCGGUGUGUCACUGCAUCAUCGGACUGAGCUUGUUAUUCCAGGCAGUGUCAACGUUGUGCAUUACAGGGAAGACAACCUCCUCUCUCAUGUGGUACUCUUCCUGCAGGCUUAUCCUGACAUGACCCUCCAGCAUGACAAUGCCACCAUACUGCUCGUUCUGUGCGAGAUUUCUUGCAAGACAGGAAUGUCCGUGUUCUGCCAUGGCCAGCGAAGAGCUCGUUUCUCAAUCCCAUUGAGCACGUCUGGGACCUGUUGGAUCGGCGGGUGAGGGCUAGGGCCAUCUCCCCCAGAAAUGUCCUGGAGCUUGCAGGUGCCUUGGUGGAAGAGUGGGGUAACAUCUCACAGCAAGAAUUGGCAAAUCUGGUGCAGUCCAUGAGGAGGAGAUGCACUGCAGUACUUAAUGCAGCUGGUGGGCACACCAGAUACUGACUGUUACUUUUGAUGUUGAACCCACCCCUUUGUUCAGGGACACAUUAUUCCAUUUCUGUUAGCCACAUGUUCAGUUUAUGUCUCAGUUGUUCAAUCUUGUAUGUUCAUACAAUUAUUUACACAUGUUAAGUUUGCUGAAAAUAAAUACAGUUGACAGUGAGAGGACGUUUCUUUUUUUGCUGAGUUUGUGAACCCUUGGUUUUAAUAAAUGGUCGACCCUACUUUGGCAGCAAUAACCUCAACGUUUUCUGUAGUUGCAGAUCAGACCUGCUCAACGGUCAGGAGGAAUUUUAUACCAUUCCUCUUUGCAAAACUGUUUCAGUUUAGCAAAAUUCUUGGGAUGUCUGGUGUGAACCUCUCUCUUGAGGCCCUGCCACAGCAUCUCAAUCGGGUUGAGGUCAGUACUCUCACUGGGCCACUCCAGAAGGCAUAUUCUCUUCUGUUGCAGCCAUUCUGUUGUUGAUUUACUUCGGUGUUUUGGGUCGUUGUCCUGUUGCAUCACCCAACUUCUCUUGAGCUUCAAUUCGCGAACAACCUUAAAUUCUCCAACAAAAUGUCUUGAUAAACUUGGCAAUACAUUUUUCCAUCGAUGAUAGCUAGCUGUCCAGACCCCGAGGCAGCAAAGCAGCUCCAAACCAUGAUAUGAUGCUCCCUUCACCAUACUUUACAGUUGGGAUGAGGUUUUGAUAUUGGUGUGCUGUGCUUUUUGUUUUCUCCACACAGUGUUGUGUGCUCCUUUCAAACAACAACAUUUUAGUUUCAUCUCUCCACAGAAUAUUUUGCCAGUAGCGCUGUGGAACAUCCAGAUGCUCUUUUGCAAACUUCAAACGUGCAGCAAUGUUUUUAUUUGGACAGUCGGUGGCUUCUUCCGUGGUGUCCUCCCAUGAACACCAUUCUUGUUUAGUGUUUUAUGUAUCGUAGACUCGUCAAUAGAGAUAUUAGGUAUUAGAUAUUAGAUAUUAGAAAUCCAGAGAUUUCUUUAAGUCUUCAGCUAACACUCUAAGAUUCUGCUUAACCUCAUUGAGCAUUCUGCGCUGUGCUCUUGCAGUCAGGACGGACAGCUGAUCGUCCUCGCAGUGGCAGACCUCGUGUAACAACACCUGCACAGGAUUGGUACAUCUUUGCAGGACGGCCACUCCUAGGGAGAGUAGCAACAGUAGCAACUUGCAGUCAUCUUUGCAGGACGGCCACUCCUAGGGAGAGUAGCAACAGUAGCAACUUGCAGUCAUCUUUGCAGGACGGCCACUCCUAGGGAGAGUAGCAACAGUGCUGAACUUUCUCAAUUUAUCUACAGUUUGUGUGACCGUGGAGUGAUGAACAUCAAGGCUUUUAGAGAUACUUUUGUAACCCUUUCCAGCUUUAUGCAAGUCAACAAUUCUUCAUCUUGGGUCUUCUGAGAUCUCUUUUGUUUGAGGCAUGGUUCACAUCAGACAAUGCUUCUUGUGAAUAGCAAACUCAAAUUUUGUGAGUGUUUUUUAGGGCAGGCAGCUCUGACCAACAUCUCCAAUCUCGUCUCAAUGAUUGUACUCCAGGUUAGCUGACUCCAAUUAGCUUUUGGAGAAGUCAUUAGCCUCGGGGUUCACAUACUUUUCUCAACUUACACUGUGAAUGUUUAAAUGAUGUAUUCAGUGUAGACAAGAAAAAGACAAUCAUUUGUGUGUUAUUAUUUUAAGCAGAAUGUGUUAAUCUGUUGUUGUGACUUAGAUGAAGAUUAAAUCUAAUUUUAUGACCAAUGGAUAUGUGUUUUGAUUUCCAACAUACUGUAAAUCUUAAUCAAUUGUGUUGAUGUACCUUUCUGUGUUCAUAUAUACAGAUUACUGUUAGGGACUUGCUGCUCAUGAUUGGACACAUAACAAGCUCAGUAUUGGAGGAGGUUAAUAGCAUCCUGAUCCCUGCCUUGGUUGACCUUAUAAGGCUGAGAGCUUCAGAAAGUGCUGCAGAGAGUAUGCUCCCCAUCAGCAAAGACACCAACGAAGAUUCAACCCAGGGCUCUGUCAGCUGUACCUCCUUACUCUCCAAAGUCAAUGUGAUCUGUCUCACUCAGAGUCCUGACAGUAGGUCCUCCCCAAUCUCCAUUGAUGAACCAGUCACUGCUGUCCAGACUUGUUGUAGCAGCAGUUCUCUGUCCAGUGAGGAACGAGCACACUCUUCCUCCAGUCAGAUCUCUACUAAGAACCUCCUGGCUACUAGGCCACGUUCUACCAGGCCCCAAUCUGCCAAACCGCCACCUUCUAAACCAUCACCUGCUAAACCACAAUCUGCUAAACCAUCACCUGCUAAACCACCACCUGCUAAACCACAAUCUGAUAAACCGUCACCUUCUAAACCAUCACCUGUUAAACCACCACCUGCUAAACUACCAUCUGAUAAACCACCACCUGCUAAACCGUCACCUGCUAAACCACC
Salvelinus fontinalis (brook trout) is the source of this 4597-nucleotide long non-coding RNA. RefSeq lists it as uncharacterized. NCBI's taxonomy places the organism in Eukaryota, Metazoa, Chordata, Actinopteri, Salmoniformes, Salmonidae. The transcript is spliced from 4 exons. The record is from RefSeq and is a predicted model, not a curated record.